GCAUAUCAAUAAGCGGAGGAAAAGAAACCAACAGGGAUUGCCCCAGUAACGGCGAGUGAAGCGGCAACAGCUCAAAUUUGAAAUCUGGCCCCCCCCGGGGGGCCCGAGUUGUAAUUUGCAGAGGAUGCUUUGGGCGAGGCGCCUUCCGAGUUCCCUGGAACGGGACGCCACAGAGGGUGAGAGCCCCGUCUGGUCGGACGCCGAGCCUCUGUAAAGCUCCUUCGACGAGUCGAGUAGUUUGGGAAUGCUGCUCAAAAUGGGAGGUAUAUGUYUUYUAAAGCUAAAUACCGGCCAGAGACCGAUAGCGCACAAGUAGAGUGAUCGAAAGAUGAAAAGCACCUUGAAAAGGGGGUUAAACAGUACGUGAAAUUGUUGAAAGGGAAGCGCUCGUGACCAGACUUGGGGCGGGCGGAUCAGCCGGCGUUCUCGCCGGCGCACUCCGCCCGUCCCAGGCCAGCAUCAGUUCGCGCCGGGGGACAAAGGCGGCGGGAACGUGGCUCCCCAGGGAGUGUUAUAGCCCGCCGCGCCAUGCCCCGGGGGCGGACUGAGGGCCGCGCAUCACUGCAAGGAUGCUGGCGUAAUGGUCACCAGCGACCCGUCUUGAAACACGGACC
RNAcentral lists this ribosomal RNA (614 nucleotides) under Aschersonia sp. JP-2006a. RNAcentral describes it as "eukaryotic LSU rRNA". It matches the Rfam family "Eukaryotic large subunit ribosomal RNA", at positions 38 to 667 of the family's 3401-position model. Lineage: Eukaryota; Fungi; Ascomycota; Sordariomycetes; Hypocreales; Clavicipitaceae. The record is from RNAcentral.